Molecule: ribosomal RNA, 301 nt
Filed under: uncultured bacterium
Lineage: Bacteria
Description: partial 16S ribosomal RNA
Rfam family: Bacterial small subunit ribosomal RNA
Source: RNAcentral
CAGUCGCCGCGGUAAUACGGAGGGUGCAAGCGUUAAUCGGAAUUACUGGGCGUAAAGCGCACGCAGGCGGUCUGACAAGUCAGAUGUGAAAUCCCCGGGCUUAACCUGGGAACUGCAUUUGAAACUGUCAGGCUGGAGUCUUGUAGAGGGGGGUGGAAUUCCAGGUGUAGCGGUGAAAUGCGUAGAGAUCUGGAGGAAUACCGGUGGCGAAGGCGGCCCCCUGGACAAAGACUGACGCUCAGGUGCGAAAGCGUGGGGAGCAAACAGGAUUAGAUACACCUGUAGUCCCUGUCUCUUAUAC